This 723-nucleotide ribosomal RNA is filed under the name uncultured bacterium. RNAcentral's name for it is "bacterial SSU rRNA". It matches the Rfam family "Bacterial small subunit ribosomal RNA", at positions 57 to 816 of the family's 1533-position model. The record is from RNAcentral.
GCAAUUCGAACGAAAACUUCGGGUUUAGUGGGCGCACGGGUGGCGUCACGCGCGGGGAAUUUGCCCUUUUGGUACGGAAAACUUCAGGGAGAUUUGAGCUCAUCACCGUAUAAUGACUUUCGGUCCAAGAUUCCAUCGCCUGAGGAUGAGCCCGCGUCGGAUUAGCUAGUUGGUGAGGUAUAAGCUCACCAAGGCGACGAUCCGUAGCUGGUCUGAGAGGAUGACCAGCCACACUCGGGAUGAGACACGGCCCAGACUCCUACGGGAGGCAGCAGUGGGGAAUAUUGGACAAUGGGCGAAAGCCUGAUCCAGCAAUGCCGCGUGAGUGAUGAAGGCCUUAGGGUCGUAAAGCUCUUCUACCCGGGAUGAUAAUGACAGUACCGGGAGAAUAAGCCCCGGCUAACUCCGUGCCAGCAGCCGCGGUAAUACGGAGGGGGCUAGCGUUGUUCGGAAUUACUGGGCGUAAAGCGCGCGUAGGCGGCUUUUGUAAGUUAGAGGUGAAAGCCCGAAGCUCAACUUUCGGAGUUUGCCUUUAAGACUGCAUCGCUAGAAUCAUGGAGAGGUUAGUGGAAUUUCCGAGUGUAGAGGUGAAAUUUCGUAGAUAUUCGGAAGAACACCAGUGGCGAAGGCGACUAACUGGACAUGUAUUGACGCUGAGGUGCGAAAGCGUGGGAGCAAACAGGAUUAGAUACCCUGGUAGUCCACGCCGUAAACGAUGAUGAC